This 1474-nucleotide ribosomal RNA is filed under the name metagenome. Its description in RNAcentral is "bacterial SSU rRNA". It matches the Rfam family "Bacterial small subunit ribosomal RNA". The record is from RNAcentral.
AGAGUUCGAUCCUGGCUCAGGACGAACGCUGGCGGCGCGCUUAACACAUGCAGGUCGAGCGGUAAGGCCCCUUCGGGGGUACACGAGCGGCGAACGGGUGAGUAACACGUGAGCAAUCUGCCCUUCACAUCGGGAUAACCUCGGGAAACCGAAGCUAAUACCGGAUACGACCAUCGAUGGCAUCUUCUGAUGGUGGAAAGUUCCGGCGGUGAAGGAUGAGCUCGCGGCCUAUCAGCUUGUUGGUGGGGUAAUGGCCUACCAAGGCGACGUCGGGUAGCCGGCCUGAGAGGGUGACCGGCCACACUGGGACUGAGACACGGCCCAGACUCCUACGGGAGGCAGCUGGGGAAUAUUGGACAAUGGGCGAAAGCCUGAUCCAGCAACGCCGCGUGAGGGAUGACGGCCUUCGGGUUGUAAACCUCUUUCAGCAGGGACGAAGCGAAAGUGACGGUACCUGCAAAAGAAGCACCGGCCAACUACGUGCCAGCAGCCGCGGUAAUACGUAGGGUGCAAGCGUUGUCCGGAAUUAUUGGGCGUAAAGGGCUCGUAGGCGGUCCAUCGCGUCGGGAGUGAAAAGCUGGGGCUUAACCCCAGUCCUGCUUCCGAUACGGGUGGACUAGAGGUAGGUAGGGGAGAUCGGAAUUCCUAGUGUAGCGGUGAAAUGCGCAGAUAUUAGGAGGAACACCGGUGGCGAAGGCGGAUCUCUGGGCCUUACCUGACGCUGAGGAGCGAAAGCAUGGGGAGCAAACAGGAUUAGAUACCCUGGUAGUCCAUGCCGUAAACGUUGGGCGCUAGGUGUGAGGGACAUUCCACGUCCUUUGUGCCGCAGCUAACGCAUUAAGCGCCCCGCCUGGGGAGUACGGCCGCAAGGCUAAAACUCAAAGGAAUUGACGGGGGCCCGCACAAGCGGCGGAGCAUGCGGAUUAAUUCGAUGCAACGCGAAGAACCUUACCUGGAUUUGACAUAUAGGGAAAUCUGUCAGAGACGGCAGGUCCGUAAGGGCCCUAUACAGGUGGUGCAUGGCUGCCGUCAGCUCGUGUCGUGAGAUGUUGGGUUAAGUCCCGCAACGAGCGCAGCCCUCGUCCUAUGUUGCCAGCACGUAAUGGUGGGGACUCUUAGGAGACUGCCGGGGUAACUCGGAGGAAGGUGGGGAUGAGGUCAAGUCAUCAUGCCCCUUAUGUCCAGGGCUUCACGCAUGCUACAAUGGCCGGUACAAAGGGCUGCGAAACCGCAAGGUGGAGCGAAUCCCAAAAAGCCGGUCUCAGUUCGGAUUGGGGUCUGCAACUCGACCCCAUGAAGUCGGAGUCGCUAGUAAUCGCAGAUCAGCAACGCUGCGGUGAAUACGUUCCCGGGCCUUGUACACACCGCCCGUCACGUCACGAAAGUCGGCAACACCCGAAGCCAGUGGCCCAACCCUUGUGGGGGGAGCUGUCGAAGGUGGGGCUGGCGAUUGGGACGAAGUCGAAACAAGGUA